GAGCGGUAGCACAGAGAGCUUGCUCUCGGGUGACGAGCGGCGGACGGGUGAGUAAUGUCUGGGAAACUGCCUGAUGGAGGGGGAUAACUACUGGAAACGGUAGCUAAUACCGCAUAACGUCGCAAGACCAAAGAGGGGGACCUUCGGGCCUCUUGCCAUCAGAUGUGCCCAGAUGGGAUUAGCUAGUAGGUGGGGUAAUGGCUCACCUAGGCGACGAUCCCUAGCUGGUCUGAGAGGAUGACCAGCCACACUGGAACUGAGACACGGCCCAGACUCCUACGGGAGGCAGCAGUGGGGAAUAUUGGACAAUGGGGGGAACCCUGAUCCAGCCAUGCCGCGUGUGUGAAGAAGGCCUUAUGGUUGUAAAGCACUUUAAGCGAGGAGGAGGCUCUCUUGGUUAAUACCCAAGAUGAGUGGACGUUACUCGCAGAAUAAGCACCGGCUAACUCUGUGCCAGCAGCCGCGGUAAUACAGAGGGUGCGAGCGUUAAUCGGAUUUACUGGGCGUAAAGCGUGCGUAGGCGGCUUUUUAAGUCGGAUGUGAAAUCCCCGAGCUUAACUUGGGAAUUGCAUUCGAUACUGGGAAGCUAGAGUAUGGGAGAGGAUGGUAGAAUUCCAGGUGUAGCGGUGAAAUGCGUAGAGAUCUGGAGGAAUACCGAUGGCGAAGGCAGCCAUCUGGCCUAAUACUGACGCUGAGGUACGAAAGCAUGGGGAGCAAACAGGAUUAGAUACCCUGGUAGUCCAUGCCGUAAACGAUGUCUACUAGCCGUUGGGGCCUUUGAGGCUUUAGUGGCGCAGCUAACGCGAUAAGUAGACCGCCUGGGGAGUACGGUCGCAAGACUAAAACUCAAAUGAAUUGACGGGGGCCCGCACAAGCGGUGGAGCAUGUGGUUUAAUUCGAUGCAACGCGAAGAACCUUACCUGGUCUUGACAUAGUAAGAACUUUCCAGAGAUGGAUUGGUGCCUUCGGGAACUUACAUACAGGUGCUGCAUGGCUGUCGUCAGCUCGUGUCGUGAGAUGUU
Molecule: ribosomal RNA, 1022 nt
Filed under: uncultured bacterium
Lineage: Bacteria
Description: bacterial SSU rRNA
Rfam family: Bacterial small subunit ribosomal RNA
Source: RNAcentral